GAUGAACGCUGGCGGCGUGCCUAACACAUGCAAGUCGAGCGGCAGCGCGAGUAGUUUACUACUUGGCGGCGAGCGGCGGACGGCUGAGUAACGCGUGGGAACAUACCCCAAAGUGAGGGAUAACUGCCCGAAAGGGUAGCUAAUACCGCAUAUGAUCUUCGGAUUAAAGGAUUUAUCCGCUUUGGGAGUGGCCCGCGUCGGAUUAGGUAGUUGGUGAGGUAAAGGCUCACCAAGCCGACGAUCCGUAGCUGGUCUGAGAGGAUGAUCAGCCAGACUGGGACUGAGACACGGCCCAGACUCCUACGGGAGGCAGCAGUGAGGAAUCUUCCACAAUGGGCGAAAGCCUGAUGGAGCAACGCCGCGUGCAGGAUGAAGGCCUUUCGGGUUGUAAACUGCUUUUAUAAGUGAGGAAUAUGACGGUAACUUAUGAAUAAGGAUCGCUAAUCA
Molecule: ribosomal RNA, 447 nt
Filed under: TM7 phylum sp. oral taxon 347
Lineage: Bacteria; Candidatus Saccharimonadota
Description: bacterial SSU rRNA
Rfam family: Bacterial small subunit ribosomal RNA
Source: RNAcentral